This 512-nucleotide ribosomal RNA is filed under the name uncultured bacterium. RNAcentral's name for it is "bacterial SSU rRNA". It matches the Rfam family "Bacterial small subunit ribosomal RNA", at positions 32 to 518 of the family's 1533-position model. The record is from RNAcentral.
AGGACGACGCUGGCGGCGUGCCUAAUACAUGCAAGUCGAGCGAAUGAUUAGAGAAGCUUGCUUCUCUCUGAUUUAGCGGCGGACGGGUGAGUAACACGUGGGUAACCUACCCUAUAGACUGGGAUAACUUCGGGAAACCGGAGCUAAUACCGGAUAAUACUUCGAAACACAUGUUUUGAAGUUGAAAGAUGGUUUCGGCUAUCACUAUAGGAUGGACCCGCGGCGCAUUAGCUAGUUGGUGAGGUAACGGCUCACCAAGGCAACGAUGCGUAGCCGACCUGAGAGGGUGAUCGGCCACACUGGGACUGAGACACGGCCCAGACUCCUACGGGAGGCAGCAGUAGGGAAUCUUCCACAAUGGACGGAAGUCUGAUGGAGCAACGCCGCGUGAGUGAAGAAGGAUUUCGGUUCGUAAAACUCUGUUGCAAGGGAAGAACAAGUAGCGUAGUAACUGGCGCUACCUUGACGGUACCUUGUUAGAAAGCCACGGCUAACUACGUGCCAGCAGCCGC